RNAcentral lists this long non-coding RNA (279 nucleotides) under Malus domestica (apple). Its description in RNAcentral is "long non-coding RNA (MDOM_LNC021301)". Lineage: Eukaryota; Viridiplantae; Streptophyta; Magnoliopsida; Rosales; Rosaceae. The record is from RNAcentral.
AGUAUUCAUAGCUUAUCGAAAAGCAACUGGAAAUCGUUUUGUAUGCAAGUGUGACAUGCGUGGAGAAGAACCUCCUAGCUAGCCUUCCAUCCAUAAGUUUCAUUCAAAUUCAUUUUACAAUCUGUUUUGAUUCACUUAAAUUUGUCUAAGAAUUUGUUUACUUUGUCCUUGUCUUAAUUUAAUUAUUUUCGUCCAAAAUCAACCCUAUCUUAUUUCUUUGAGUCAUAUUAAUUAGAACUUGUCUUAGAUUAUGUUUUUAAGUGUUUUAGUUCAUUAGAA